RNAcentral lists this ribosomal RNA (452 nucleotides) under uncultured bacterium. Its description in RNAcentral is "bacterial SSU rRNA". It matches the Rfam family "Bacterial small subunit ribosomal RNA", at positions 29 to 524 of the family's 1533-position model. The record is from RNAcentral.
AACGAACGCUGGCGGCAGGCCUCAAACAUGCAAGUCUAGGGGGUGUAGCAAUACAUCACCGGCGGACGGGUGCGUAACGCGUGGGAAUAUACCUAUCGAUUCGGAACAACUGAGGGAAACUUCAGCUAAUACCGAAUACGUCCUAACGGAGAAAGAUUUAUCGUCGAUAGAUUAGCCCGCGUUCGAUUAGCUAGUUGGUGGGGUAACGGCCCACCAAGGCGACGAUCGAUAGCUGUUCUGAGAGGAAGAUCAGCCACACUGGGACUGAGACACGGCCCAGACUCCUACGGGAGGCAGCAGUUGGGAAUCUUGGACAAUGGGGGAAACCCUGAUCCAGCCAUGCCGCGUGAGUGAUGAAGGCCUUCGGGUUGUAAACGUCUUUCGCGCACGACGAUAAUGACGGUAGUGCGAGAAGAAGCUCCGGCUAACUUCGUGCCAGCAGCCGCGGUAAU